Molecule: long non-coding RNA, 1148 nt
Organism: Clupea harengus (Atlantic herring)
Lineage: Eukaryota; Metazoa; Chordata; Actinopteri; Clupeiformes; Clupeidae
Source: Ensembl
AGGGGAGACUGCGACCUGAACGCAGCGCCUUAGACCGCUCGGCCAUCCUGACUGAUACUCAUUCUUCUCGUAUCUCCCAUGAUACCUUGCGCGCAUAGUAAGACUAACUUCCGAUAUAAGAACCUUAUCGUGCAUUCAGGCAGAUGGGAAUUUAGAAAGUUCCCUUUUCUAACGUGUCACUUCAAAGUUGAGAGCGUUCACAUAAUGACAACAAACAAACAACGCUAAUGAUAGUUAAGUAGGCUAACCAGCCAGAAGGUCAACAUUACGUUAGUUACACAUAAGUAAUCUGCUAGGUAUGUCUUUUAACGUCACAACCUGCGCAGAGCAAGUCCAUUUUUUUUUAAUCUUUCACUACAAACGUUGCCAUGUCGAAAGAAGUCAGACCUAAGUUAGUUCUUGGAGUUCUUAUAACUCCACUUUCCCAGGGGGAUGUUCCGCGUUUAGCAGGCGUUCAGGUGUAGUCUCCCAUUCGGUGGUCGGAGCUUUCCCAACUCCAAGUUGCUCGUGAACAUACCAUUAAGCUAGCAAAUACAGUGGAAUAGACUUCUGCCAAGUCUUCGUAGCUAACUAUUUAAUAAGUCACAUACAAAUAAAUAACAAUGCACAACGUUUUAAAACGAAUGCGUUGCAACACAACCUCGAACAUUUAAAGAUUGGAAGACAUACGGCAGAGCACCAAGUAACGUAGCUUAGUACCUGAUCAUAGCGACGUCUAGUAAAUGGACAAUUCACCAACUUAUUCAAUGCUUACUGUCAAUAACUUACCUCCAAAGAAGUAAAGUCGAAUGUACACUGUUAAGGAGUAUUUUAUCUCUGUUUUGCACUUCGGACAAAGAGAGCCAAGUCAGAGCAUGAGGUGAGUGCCACAUCAUCCUCGUAUUAACCCUAGCAUCCAUGACCGCUGCAUGCACACACAUAACUGCCAGUACAAACGGCGCAUGCAUUUGUAGCGUGAAAGGAUAUUAGGGCUUUAUAGGUGAUGCUUCCAACUACAUGUCACAAUACCUCGGGUUUCACUUAAGGUAUCUAGAUAGAGUUGAACUCUGUUAAAGUAAGUAACUCUCUCACAAGACAAGCAACCCUUCAAAUCUGCUUUUAUCCUUUAAAAUGGACAUAUCAGUUUUAAAGAUGCAAAAUAUAGCCUC